AUUUAUAUUGUCAGAAAACAAUGUAUAUUUUAAAGGAUUAAUAUAUACAGUAUAAUAUACAUAUCAUGUCUCAAACUAUAGUCAGCAUUUAUCCUUUUAAUCAGUCACUGUUUCAUUCUUCAUACACUGAAUGGAAAUAAUGUAAUGUCAUUGGUUGAAUUUCCAUUGGCACACCCCUAGCCAGGGGGGUUAGGAGGGGUUCUUACUAUCCAUCCCUUCAAAACAAAUAAGCACUGUUAAAGUCAAUGUUUUGUAUGAAUUGUAACUGUUAAAGUUGAAUAUGAUUGUAUCAAACCCCAACCCCUUAGAAAUUCCUGGCUACAUGCCUGGUUGGUUAGGGGGUUUGGUGACUUCAUUACCCAGAAUGCUUUAGAUUCUGAAUUGGUACUGUUUUUUAAUAUAGGGAUGCUUAUUAAAAUAUUUAUAAAAUUUUGAAUAAAUAUGGAAUGCACUGUAUUUACAGCCAAUCUAAGUUUUUAAUUCAUAUAAUUAGUAAACCCGAUAAUUUAUACAUGUAUAGGUUUACUAAUAUCAAUUAAAAACUUAGAUUGGCUGUAAAUACAGUGCAUUCCAUAUUUAUUCAUGUGAUUUCCCAGUUUUUGUUGAAAAUGGGAAAUAUUUAUGGGUUUUAAUGAAAUGUUCUUUUCCAGAAAAGGUGCUUCUUUUUGGGUGUUUUCUUUAUCUAAUAAGAAGGUAUAGUCAGCACUAGAUACAUUUGUCAGUAAUGAAUAAGAUUUUCACCUCCCACCCUAAGUGUUAUUAGAUCUUCAAUCCAGUAACUAAUAUCUUGUUUGUCUAAUGUUAUGGUUCCAGUUUUGUCAUAUUGUUGAUUGUUAUUUAGAGUUGUGUUUUUGUCUGUUUUUAUAAUGAGUAGACUUUUUUAAGCCAGAAUUGGAAUAAUCAUGUUAUCGUGAACAUAGUAGUAAAAGUAAAACAUAGAAUCCAUGUUCGACAUGUUAUUCAUAUUAUUUUACAAUAAUAUAAUUUAGGAUGUAACACGUCUUAUGAUUGGUUGACGUUGUUUUGUUUAUCAUAUCAUAGACAUAAUUUUGUCAUGUGACCAUGACGUCAUCAACAUUUUUUCAUGAUUUACGCCGGUUUAAAAUGGAUUUUAAAAAUUAAAUUAUAAGAAAUAACUGUAAUAUUUUGUCAGUCUAUUCGAAAUAACAUAAAAAAUGUGGUGCACACUGUUAAAUAACUCUUGACACGCAUUAUCCAGUGUGCACCACAUUUUUUUAUGUUAUUUCUUCAUAGACAGAAAAAAUAUUACAGUCAUUCCUUAAUUAGAUAUUCUUAAUUUUAACUGAAUGCCUAUGUACAUACAAUAAGUGAUCUUGGAUGACUUCAUAAUUCAUAUUUUUAUGAAAAGUGUGGUUAGUAAUUGUAUUUUCACAUAAGAAAUUAAUAAAAGAAAUUUACGUCAUAUUUUUUAGGACAGUAUCAAAAAAGAAAUAGAAGAAUUAAGAUAAACGUUCCUAAUUUCUAGAUUCUAGAAAUCACAAAAAUAUCUACUUUGAACAUUUUUUUUAUUAAGUUAUCUCCCUUAUUAAAAUCUCUAUUUGGUUCUUUAAUUCUGAUGCAUUAAAAUAUACCGGUUUUAAAAAGGAAAUGUGAAGUUCUAAUCAAAAGACUUUCCUGUAAAAUUACUUUUCCUUAUAAUAUUCAAUGUUAAGAUAUGAUAUUGAGUUUUAAAAUAAGCAGCAUGGUUAUAAAUGGCAACCCGAUAUAUUAUCUUUAGAAGGUCCAGUUUAACUGUGUAGUUUUGCCUUAGAUAACUAGUUCUGUCUUAGCUGACUAGUUCUGCCUCAGCUGACUAGUUCUGCCUUAGUUGACUAGUUCUGUCUUGCAAGAUCUUUUUAUAGGUGCUCAAUGAAUGAUGAAUGUUUAUAUUAGGUGCUGAAUUAUUAGUUGUUAUUUUUAACCUUUACAUACUGUCUCUGACUGACUGAAAUCCUGCACACGUUUUUUCUUAUUCACGCUGAUGGAGGUUAGUUCAAAGUGAAUCUCUUAGAAUUAUUUUGGCAAUAAUAAAGAGACAUUCUUAUAUUAAAAAAAUAUUUAUAUGUGAACUUUUCCCAUUUUGAUCUCAAAUGCAACAUAUUCAUUAUUUGUCUCAAUAAUAGUUUGUAUUUUUUUAAGUAACAUUAAGUUAGAGAUCUGUUUGUUGAGUCAUGUCAUGCAUGUAGGAUAUACCAGUUACUUUACUUCUUAAGUUGAUCAUUGUAUAUAUAGAGCUUUUGUUUUUGGUUUGUAAGUAUAAUCAAGAAUAACCUAUGUUAUAGAAUUAAUUGUCUUGUUAUAGGAGCGCUUUACAUGUAAUUUGUACUUGUAUAUUGUAAAUAUUGUAUUUGUUAUAGUUAAAAGCAAAUCAAUUCACUUUUUAAAUGUUUUAUGGGAUGACCUCCCUUUGUUUUUGUUAUAUAACUUUUUGUUAAUACAUUUGUAGUAGAUAUUACCCACAGUAAGUUUUAGAUACAUCUUGGUGUUCUUCUGUUCCAAUAACUUUUGAUGUCUUUCUUACAAAACUUGAUGUAAAAUUAUUUAUGUAGAUUUAAUUGGCCCUUUUCUUUUCAUAUAUCAUAUCAUUUAAUUAAUUUCGUUAAAAAUUCCUCUAAACAUUCCUAAAAAAAAAAAAUUCAGGAGAGUGCAAUAAAUAUUUACAUAUCAAGUAAAGAUUAUUAUAAUGGCUUUUAGAACUUCUUUAAUCUUGUCUCAUUAGCAUUCUUUAACUGGAAGACAAGAAAAAAAAGAUCUGAUGCUUUUAAACUACGCAAUUUUUCAGUGGACAAAUUUUCAUACCAAUUUUGAGGAACAUUACUGUUCAAAUCACUUUCAUGUUUUUUGUCAAUCAACUUUAUAAAUUUUCUAUUAGCUUCAAAGUAACAUAGAUUAAUUUCAUUCCGUUUCUAAAGAAUCUGGAAAAAAGCAUUGCUUGAAGGAUGUAUGGUGACCUAUAGUUGCUUUUAUCCAUGUCCUUUGGUGUCUGGUGAACAGAUGUCUUACUCAGUGUUUGCAAUCAUACAUUUUGAUUUCUUCCCUUUGUAUUUGCAAUCAUACAUUUUGAUUACUUCCCUUUGUAUUUGCAACAAUACAUUUUGAUUACUUCCCUUUGUAUUUGCAAUCAUACGUUUUGAUUACUUCCCAUUGUAUUUAUGAAACUGCUUACUGAAGGUUUUGUUGUACAUUUUGAUAAUACUAUCCAGAGUGCAUUUAAUUUGAAUUUUAAAAUCAAGUCUACUUUCAUUUACUUUUUUUUUGUAAUCUUUAUACAUGUAUAUGCUUCUUCCUGUUUUGUUUGGUCCCACAGAGUCAGUAAAACUUGUUAGGAUUAGCACUUAGGCUAGGUCAGGAAACUUGUCUCAUUGGCACUCAAACCACAUUUUCUUAUAACUAUUGAAUAUAAACACUUACAUUUUAUUAUAUCUCUGUAAUUAUAAAGAAGUUGAUCUGUAAAUUCAAAAAUAUAUUAUCACCUCACAGAUUGAGAUAGAGGAAGACUUUGUUAUUAUUAGUUCUGUAGAAUGACUCUUAUGGUCCUAUAUAAUGAUUCAUUGUCUCAUAUGCAAUGAAUGAAGCAGAAUUUAUCACAUAUCUUCUUUUUUCUUGUAAAAAUAGUUCAAGAUGAACAUAUAACUUAGUUCAAAACUUAUUGAAUAUAAAGAUAUAUUGCUUUAAAGCUGUUAACAAAGUAUACAUCUUUAUGGAUAAAUGUUUCCAUUUGGCAUAUGAUAUUGUAUAAACUUUGUCUUCAGUGUUCAGUGACUGCUAAAGAAAACUGUAUAGAUUUUUACACACAAUAUUUUUCAGUUAUUAUGGAUUAAUUGCUUGUCUGUUUGGCAGGGUUUGUCUGACCUUUACCUCCUGUUUUAAGUUCACUAAUAAUGUAAAAUUUUAAUGAUACCUUUUAUGUGAUAAAAAAUUAGGUACUGUUUAUAUUAAGAUGUGGACCAUAAGAGCUAUUGCUACAAUGAUUUAGAUUUAGUAUUUAUAGAAAGGUGUCUAAAUGCUGUGAUACACAUACAUAAUGUUAACAUAUGACGAAAGUCUCUAGAACUAAUAAAUUUUAUCUUACAUACAGUCAUAUUUUUAUUUAUUAUCACUUGGCCAAAACAAACCCCAAUUUUGGGUAAAGAUUGCAUGAAAUGAAAUCAGUCCCUACGGUACUGA
Molecule: long non-coding RNA, 4167 nt
Filed under: Mytilus galloprovincialis (Mediterranean mussel)
Lineage: Eukaryota; Metazoa; Mollusca; Bivalvia; Mytilida; Mytilidae
Source: RNAcentral